GAGAAAAUCCUCGCUGCGUACAGAAAGGCUUCGAAGCAAUGGUGCUCCACCCAGAACAAGCUGGCUCAAGUGAGGCAACGGGGCAGGAAGCGCACCAUGGUCGGAUGAAUGGAGAAGAAGAAAAAUAUGUGGCAUGGAAUGGAUGUAUGUUAUUAGAAAGACCGUCGUCUAAAACGAGAGUGAUGUACCACCAUUGCUAUAUUUUUUUAGCGGUGAGUGGCUUUGGCUGCUGUAACGUUUGUGAAAUCUCGAACUAUGUUGCCUGGUUGCACCAUUUGGUCAGAACUCAGAAGCAGAGUGUCGUUUCAUCCAGAAGUGGGAGAAGUUUUAUUCGUUUCUCAUGCAUGAUAACUGGAAGACAUGGUUG
RNAcentral lists this unclassified non-coding RNA (367 nucleotides) under Zea mays. Its description in RNAcentral is "misc RNA Zm00001eb222920". The record is from RNAcentral. Lineage: Eukaryota; Viridiplantae; Streptophyta; Magnoliopsida; Poales; Poaceae.